UCCUCGGGCUGGUCCUCAUGGGGGGCGAUCCUCAAGCGCUCUUGAGUGCAUCGAGUUAAAAAGAACAGAGAGACUCUUAGGUCCACCAAGUAAACCAGCUCUUUUUUUUUUUUUUUUUUUUUUACCGCAGUGACUUAUUUGUGAUGUUCACUCAGGUCUAGCUCGGUACAUUUUCUGUAGUAACACACAAACUUGUUACAGAAUAUGCAAAGCCAGCUGACAAGCUCCUUGUUCAACGCACAGAUUCCAGCUAAGAAAUGUCAUUAGCUGAUGCAGAGGAAGCACCUCAGUAAAUACAUUGGGAUCCUUACCUGAUGCUCCUUACCACUGCUGACACAUACUGGCUACUUCAAGUUCAGUGCACAUACAUUAAUGAAUUCACAGUUGUUCGAGAUUGUUUGCCCAUUAGCUUCACUACCCCUCACUGCAGCAUUGAUGGUCUAUCCCGCCAAAACACAACACACAAUGUGUCAGCGAUCCUCCCUCCAGCCAAGGAUGGCUAGACACAGCUUGCCGUGGAGCCUGUCAACUCUGUGUAUCAGCCCCAGGGAAUCAAAUGAGAGCAGUGAAACGUGUUCUCUACCUCCAGUGUCUGUAGCCUCUGGCACCUACUGGUACGUGAGUAAAGAAGGAAAUCACAGCUGGCCUGGCUCAAGUCCCACAGUUUUACCCUUAAUAGCAAAUAUUUCUAGUGCAAACUUGUUCCAGCUUAUUUUGCAACUCAUUUAGAAACUGCAGUGUCAAAACUACUUUGACUUUACUACUCAUUUCAAUCCCAUUUUCAACUCACAGCGCUGAUCCAGCUGUUGUUAAAGGGCAGCGUUUUGUUGCGUACAGGGAUCUGGAUUCAAUGAUAUCCUGGCUUUGUGCCACAGUAAUGGUUCUUGAGCUUGGCAAAUACAUCAGCUGUUACCUUAAACUGGUCUGUCAGUCUGAUAUGAUUUCAUUCUGAAUUGCAGAAGAGCCUACAUAGUUCAUCUUUCUAACAGAAAAAGAAGUCAAAACAAAUAUGAAAUGUGGACAGAGGGUUCAACUCUUAGCCCACCAUCCACUUUUUUUGUACAUUGUGAGCUCUCUUAGGACAAAUCACUGUCAAAAGUGACUGCUGCCUUUGAGAACUUCAUUUUUCAGGCACUUGAGGCCAGGCACACGCUGCAGCACUUCCAUAACCAAGAGCUACCAGCCUCCGUGUCAGCCCUGGGUGAUCCUGAAACUCUGAAAUGUCUCAGAUCAGGCCCCUUUUGAAAUCAGCAUCUUUAGGCUUUCUGAAAUUCUCCCUUCUCUUAAGAAAGAACAAUAUGAGAUUUGUAGCCAUGGUUUGAUAUCUACUAAUUCUGAGUUUAUUUUGAUUGUAAAAGCACAAGAUUUUAAAAAAGGAUAGAAUUCAAGUUCAGAAGCAGAACAAUCUCAAAUGUGUGUUGCUGAUGCGAGGGUGACAAUGGUUAACGUCAUUUCUUGCUUCAGAAGAAAGAGCAAAGUAGGAAAGCAAGUGUCAUUUUGAUCUAAUUUUGUUCUAACAUUUGCCCUGAGAGCAGAAUAAAACUACAGCUGCUCAUCCUCUAGUGAAGAAGAGUAUACCCAACUUGUAGCUGUAAGCAAGUGAUCUCUGUUUCUAUAGGAAGCGCAGAGCAUUGCUUUGUCAUAUUAUGUGCGGCUGCACACAUUCAGCCAUUCCCAGUCUACGUGACUGUUCAUAAUGCAGUAAUAAUCUCCUUUCUGUUUUUAAAAGCACAUAAGAUUUACACACCACAGUAGCAAAAUUGUGCAAUGCUGGCAUGAAUAAUGUGUUAUGACAACCCCUCGGGGAGUAACUCCUGUUGGCAGCGUGUGUGUAAUCCCUGGAUGGCUUGAUGCACUGGUAACGGCCCCGUAACAAUGGGAACAUGAGCGUGGCCUCGGGUGUCUCAGACCUGGGCUUGGUGGGCUCAGCUGUGUUGGCAAGGUAACGCAGUUCAAGCUCAAAGGGGAAGGAGAAGCGGCUAAUAGUCACUGCAGAGGGCCAUCUGCUAAGUGACCAAAACUAUCUGAUAUAUUAAGAAAAAGUUUUAUAAAAGACUUGCUGAACUUUCUGUAUAACGAAAUUUUGUCAUUUCUCCGUUGGUUCUGUAUACUCUCUGUAACAACAAUCUGCUGUCACACUAUUGGCACUAUGUACAAAUACUAAUAACAAAUCACUUCCAUGGCACUGACUUUAACAGUCACAUAACCAUUUAAAAAGGAAAGCUCAUUAGGGGAGUGGGAAUUAACCAAACUGUAGAGAGGACACUGCCCUUUAUGUUUUGGAAUCCAGACAUGUACAACUCUGCAUCUCCCCAGGCACCUCCACUGAUGUCCUUCAGGAUAUGGAAUGACAAGUCUAUUCCAUCAGAGGACAGAGUGAAAAUGUUCAAACAAGGUUAGAUUUUGUAUACCUAGACCAUCGGUGCAAUCUAUUGGUGCAAUUUGCCAGUGUCUGUCGUAUGCGCUAAAAUCUGUGUUUUAUCUGUUAUCUAUAAAACAAUGAUAAUGAAUAGAGGUAACGUUCUGAGUAAAAUGUAUGUAAAACUGGUUAUUAUGGUGUAAAUAUUGAAAGAGAUGGCACUAAGUGCUUGAAAUAUGCUGUGCCAGUAGCUUUAACAGUGUUUGUGCAGCCCAGGCUAAUAGCUGCUCUUGCUAGCUGUGGCCACUGCCACUGCUGCUAGCAAUUGUCUCUGCCAGCAGUGUCCAUUGUGAUAUUUAGCUUUAAAAGUUUGUAAAAGCCAGAUUUAUAAACUUGUUUCUCCUCAAAGAGCAAAUAGAGUAACCAGGGCAUCUGAAAAAGCCCAGCUCUAGCUGCCUUCCAUAGCUAACCCAACUCAAACCUGCAAGUAGCCAGGAUCUCGUAGUCCUGGGCUAGCACAAGCCUGAACAGCUCUUUGUUUGCACCAGGUACACUCAGAAGGUCAUGUAAAUGUCUCAGCUUUAUUUAGCUGUUGAAAGGAAUCCGGUUUACUGCGUGCUUGUUGUUGAUGAGUUGUUCACAAGGUCAAGAGCUUUUGAACUCUACCAUAAGAUUUUCGUUACUGCAGUUCAGCAUUUCAGUUGGGAUUAAGUUAGGCAAUACAUAAGAAUGUUUUAGGGCACUUAAUACAGCAGGUACAAAACACUGCAAGUGCAAAGUGCCACGGGUGAUUUGAAGGUGCUAAAAAAAGUCUGUGUUUGUAUUGGUUUGAGUAUAUUGCGCACACACCACUCCAGUUCUAUGUCAGACUAGGCAUUGUCAGUUCCCUGCAGACAAUGUAAAGUUAGUAUAAAUACCAUAUUGUGUACUCUGGAUAAUUCAGCAGCAGCACAAUCAUGUGCUCUGCCCAAUCCAUUUGGACUGCUAGGUGAUACAGUACCACACAAAUCAAAGCUUAAUGGUCUUGUCAGCAUGUCCUCCCUAACACUGAGGUUUCUUAAUUGUCUCAGCUUCCUUCUGUCUGGCACACGCGAGCACAAAGAAAUUGAAUAUUUACCAGGAAGUUUCCUACCUCCUUCCCUGCCUGUAGCCCCCCAGGACAUCAUUCUAAUAGAGUUCUGUAUAAACAGCAGUUGGCAAAAAUCCUGAAGAACCUUCAGAGGCAGAUAUGACAUCACUGUGACACAUCAUCUUGAAUUUCUUAAGAAAAUUAUUUCCUCAAGAUAAUAGCCACUAGAGAAAUCAAUCAAGUUGAGGGUGUUCCUGGAGGGCCUCAUCCAUGAUUGCAUCAUCCCCAAGCCCCAACAGCUAGGCCUCCUGGUGCGGGGAUGCUCUCAGGGCCUUCACAAAACAAGCACAGUGGGCUCUGCCAUGAUGACAACUGGUUUGAAGAAAAACAGUGCUUUCUAGUACUCUCUUUGUAGCAAAAUCUAAAGCUCCCACUUACUGCUGAACGGUGCCACCCAACCAGCAAUCUGCUCCUUAUCACAUCUACUCAGUCCUGAUGCCCAAAAGUUGAGUUUCAAUCGACUUGAUCUUGCAUGCCUUUUCAAUUUCAGAUACACCAGAGCUUUCAGUACUUUUGAGAAAAUAUGUACCACUAAAUAUGAUACUUUGGAUUCAUUUCAAAAUACUCGACUUGCAGAAGUACACGUCCAAAGAUAAUUUCAUUAGGGUUUUUCUUUCCAUAACAGUACCUGGAAACAAGUCCUGCAAUUUCCUUCUCUUACAUAGCUCCCACUAAAAUCAAUGGAGCAAACUCAGAGGCACAGUCUGCUGAAGGUAUCUCUUCUUUCCACAGACCACAUUAGCUGCUUUGCAUGCCAGAUCUAGCCAUAGCGCCAUUGAUUCAUCAUCUCUGCUAAGAGGACUAAAAAGAAUUAUGUAUGAUAACCUUUUAUCCUCUAGUCACCUAGUGUUUAGGGCUGAAUAGCAGUAAAAUAUUCAGCUAUCUUUCUGUCCACAUAUAGCCUCCAGUGUGGUAUUAACCUCCCGCAUAGUCUGGUAGAUACAGUACUACGUGGAAAUAAUUUGAAGUUAAAUAUUUCAUGUGCAAUCAUCUGAUGAAAAAAAUCAUAAUUUUUCAAUGAAAAAGC
Long non-coding RNA from Numida meleagris (helmeted guineafowl), 4515 nucleotides. RefSeq lists it as uncharacterized. Lineage: Eukaryota; Metazoa; Chordata; Aves; Galliformes; Numididae. The transcript is spliced from 4 exons. The record is from RefSeq and is a predicted model, not a curated record.